UGCAUCGGCCGGGAAUCGGCCCGCCCGCGUGGCAGGCGAGCAUUCUACCACUGAACCACCGAUGG
This is a non-coding RNA of Cordylochernes scorpioides, 65 nucleotides long. The record is from the annotation of a GenBank genome assembly. Lineage: Eukaryota; Metazoa; Arthropoda; Arachnida; Pseudoscorpiones; Chernetidae.